Pelobates cultripes (western spadefoot toad) is the source of this 537-nucleotide non-coding RNA. The record is from the annotation of a GenBank genome assembly. NCBI's taxonomy places the organism in Eukaryota, Metazoa, Chordata, Amphibia, Anura, Pelobatidae.
UAGAGGUUGGCGGAAAUGACCGCCAUGUGAUUAGUGGUUGGCGGAAGUGAUGUUAUCAGUUACUCCAUCUACUUCCGUUUUCGUCUUUUACCUUGUGCUUCCCACCUCUCUCUAAGACGCUCUUGUGUCUGUUACUAUAUGGGGGUGGUCCGUAAUCGCUGCGGUGAAGUCCGACGUGGGGACGUGAAUUGUCAUGUCACUCUCAUUGUCAGGAUUCUUCGCGCAUGCGUACUCCCCUACAUUUCCUUAGUGAUAGGAUAAUGAUCUUUAAUAGUGCAAAAAGUGCUAGUGAUAAUAAUAUCCCCAUGUAUUUGUGAAGAAUAAGAUCUUUAUAUUUCUAUCUAAUUAUAUAUCUGGCCUUACUUCUAAAGUGUCAUAUCCCUUUAACCCCCUUUUAAUUUAACUCUAGUUUCCGUAUGUAUACUAGUCAUAUUAAUAAAUAUCGUUUGUUGCGAUAGUGUUUGUGACUUAAUACUUUAUUAUAUCACCUCAUAUCCUUUUAUUCUAUCAUUUCCUUUUCAUACAAAUUUGUUUAAG